GUGGGGAAUAUUGGACAAUGGGCGAAAGCCUGAUCCAGCCAUGCCGCGUGUGUGAAGAAGGUCUUCGGAUUGUAAAGCACUUUAAGUUGGGAGGAAGGGCAUUAACCUAAUACGUUAGUGUUUUGACGUUACCGACAGAAUAAGCACCGGCUAACUUCGUGCCAGCAGCCGCGGUAAUACGAAGGGUGCAAGCGUUAAUCGGAAUAACUGGGCGUAAAGCGCGCGUAGGUGGUUCGUUAAGUUGGAUGUGAAAGCCCCGGGCUCAACCUGGGAACUGCAUCCAAAACUGGCGAGCUAGAGUACGGUAGAGGGUGGUGGAAUUUCCUGUGUAGCGGUGAAAUGCGUAGAUAUAGGAAGGAACACCAGUGGCGAAGGCGACCACCUGGACUGAUACUGACACUGAGGUGCGAAAGCGUGGGGAGCAAACAGGAUUAGAAACCCUAGUAGUCC
Molecule: ribosomal RNA, 450 nt
Filed under: uncultured bacterium
Lineage: Bacteria
Description: partial 16S ribosomal RNA
Rfam family: Bacterial small subunit ribosomal RNA
Source: RNAcentral